CUCUUGCAGUUUGACAGAUCUACCUGGAGGCUGAAAGAGUCUAUGCAGCCUGUCUCUAAACAUAGCCAAACAUAGAAAAGGCAUAGUAAAAAUACAGCUAGUAGGAACUACCUGGAGUUAGAAUGGGCUCUCAGACAGAUAAUGAGCUCUCUCAUCACACUCAUUUUCAAACAAAGGCUUGCCAAACCUCCUAAAGGUCUCCUACAACCCCAGAUCCCAUUUAACCCAAAUGAUAGUCUUUACAGGACCCUAAAACACCCUA
RNAcentral lists this long non-coding RNA (262 nucleotides) under Pan troglodytes (chimpanzee). RNAcentral's name for it is "long non-coding RNA NONPTRT011280". The record is from RNAcentral. Lineage: Eukaryota; Metazoa; Chordata; Mammalia; Primates; Hominidae.